Molecule: small RNA, 107 nt
Filed under: Marmota monax (woodchuck)
Lineage: Eukaryota; Metazoa; Chordata; Mammalia; Rodentia; Sciuridae
Source: RNAcentral
GCUGGGUAUAGUGGUGCAUGCCUAUAAUCCCAGUGGCUUGGGAGGCUGAGGCAGGAGGAUCACAAGUUCAAAGUCAGCCUCAGCAACUUAGAGAGACUGUGUCUCAA